Molecule: ribosomal RNA, 429 nt
Filed under: uncultured Yersinia sp.
Lineage: Bacteria; Pseudomonadati; Pseudomonadota; Gammaproteobacteria; Enterobacterales; Yersiniaceae
Description: bacterial SSU rRNA
Rfam family: Bacterial small subunit ribosomal RNA
Source: RNAcentral
UGGGGAAUAUUGCACAAUGGGCGCAAGCCUGAUGCAGCCAUGCCGCGUGUGUGAAGAAGGCCUUCGGGUUGUAAAGCACUUUCAGCGAGGAGGAAGGCAUUGUGGUUAAUAACCACAGUGAUUGACGUUACUCGCAGAAGAAGCACCGGCUAACUCCGUGCCAGCAGCCGCGGUAAUACGGAGGGUGCAAGCGGUAAUCGGAAUUACUGGGCGUAAAGCGCACGCAGGCGGUUUGUUAAGUCAGAUGUGAAAUCCCCGCGCUUAACGUGGGAACUGCAUUUGAAACUGGCAAGCUAGAGUCUUGUAGAGGGGGGUAGAAUUCCAGGUGUAGCGGUGAAAUGCGUAGAGAUCUGGAGGAAUACCGGUGGCGAAGGCGGCCCCCUGGACAAAGACUGACGCUCAGGUGCGAAAGCGUGGGGAGCAAACAGG